AUUCAACCCUUUGUACAUAGAAAUUACAACUAUUUAUAGAAAAUAGAAAAUAACUUCCUACAUCUUAGAUUUUGACAAGUGUCUUAUAUUUAAUAACUUCCUAUAUCUAAGAUUGACACAUGUCCCUUNNNGAAUGACUUCUUCCGAUGUCUUAAAACAUAUGUCACUUCUUGUUGAAAAUGAAGCCUUCGACAGCAAAAUAGUUUAGUCGAAUUCCACUUAAUAUGGCUAACUUCGACAAAUCACGUUCCAUGCCUAAUCAAAUGAGUUUUUCUUCUAUUCAAAUUAUAACACCAAGUCGAAAUGAAUAUUACCAAUAUUAUAAUUUUGGUGUCAAC
This 338-nucleotide long non-coding RNA is filed under the name Trifolium pratense (red clover). RNAcentral's name for it is "long non-coding RNA (TPRA_LNC004640)". Lineage: Eukaryota; Viridiplantae; Streptophyta; Magnoliopsida; Fabales; Fabaceae. The record is from RNAcentral.